AAAUAACUUCCAGCUGUAUUUAUAUGGCUGUGGUCGCAGGUGAGCCUGUCAGAGACACAAAAUCAAAAUCACGCUGACACAUAAUGGACUACAAAUAUGAACUGAUGGUUUUUAUCAUUUGCUUGACGGGCAUUUAUUGUCAGAGUCUGACAGAAUCUGGAUCAGUGGUGAAAAAACCAGGAGAAUCCCACAAACUGACCUGCACAGCCUCUGGAUUCACAUUCAGCAGCUACUGGAUGAACUGGAUCAGACAGGCUCCAGGGAAAGGACCAGAGUGGAUUGCUCGUAUUAGUAGCAGUGGUGGUACCAAGUACUACUCACAGUCAGUCCAGGGCAGGUUUACCAUCUCCAGAGACAACAGCAGAGAUCAGGUGUUUCUGCAGAUGAACAGCCUGAGAACAGAGGAUUCUGCUGUAUACCACUGCGUUCGAGAGACACAGUGACUGAAGU
This is a non-coding RNA of Xiphophorus couchianus (Monterrey platyfish), 450 nucleotides long. NCBI's taxonomy places the organism in Eukaryota, Metazoa, Chordata, Actinopteri, Cyprinodontiformes, Poeciliidae. The record is from the annotation of a RefSeq genome assembly.